Molecule: ribosomal RNA, 252 nt
Filed under: uncultured bacterium
Lineage: Bacteria
Description: partial 16S ribosomal RNA
Rfam family: Bacterial small subunit ribosomal RNA
Source: RNAcentral
UACGGAGGAUGCGAGCGUUAUCCGGAUUUAUUGGGUUUAAAGGGUGCGUAGGCGGGUUAUCAAGUCAGCGGUAAAAUCGUGGAGCUCAACUCCAUCCAGCCGUUGAAACUGAUGAUCUUGAGUGGGCGAGAAGUAUGCGGAAUGCGUGGUGUAGCGGUGAAAUGCAUAGAUAUCACGCAGAACUCCGAUUGCGGAGGCAGCAUACCGGCGCCCGACUGACGCUGAAGCACGAAAGCGUGGGUAUCGAACAGG